CGGGGGAGGUUGGAUCCUGGGCUGCGUCCCCGGCGCCCUGAGCUCCCAGUCCUGCGCUGUUGGAUUCGUGCUCCAGGCCGCGCAGCCCCCU
Molecule: non-coding RNA, 91 nt
Organism: Canis lupus familiaris (dog)
Lineage: Eukaryota; Metazoa; Chordata; Mammalia; Carnivora; Canidae
Source: Rfam